CCUACGGGUGGCAGCAGUGAGGAAUAUUGGUCAAUGGACGAGAGUCUGAACCAGCCAAGUAGCGUGAAGGAUGACUGCCCUAUGGGUUGUAAACUUCUUUUAUAUGGGAAUAAAACGUUCCACGUGUGGGAUUUUGUAUGUACCAUAUGAAUAAGGAUCGGCUAACUCCGUGCCAGCAGCCGCGGUAAUACGGAGGAUCCGAGCGUUAUCCGGAUUUAUUGGGUUUAAAGGGAGCGUAGGUGGAUUGUUAAGUCAGUUGUGAAAGUUUGCGGCUCAACCGUAAAAUUGCAGUUGAAACUGGCAGUCUUGAGUACAGUAGAGGUGGGCGGAAGUCGGGGUGUAGCGGUGAAAUGCUUAGAUAUCACGAAGAACUCCGAUUGCGAAGGCAGUUCACUGGACUGCAACUGACACUGAGGCUCGAAAGUGUGGGUAUCAAACAGGAUUAGAUACCCGAGUAGUC
RNAcentral lists this ribosomal RNA (460 nucleotides) under uncultured bacterium. RNAcentral describes it as "partial 16S ribosomal RNA". It matches the Rfam family "Bacterial small subunit ribosomal RNA", at positions 338 to 795 of the family's 1533-position model. The record is from RNAcentral.